Bos indicus x Bos taurus (hybrid cattle) is the source of this 1285-nucleotide long non-coding RNA. Lineage: Eukaryota; Metazoa; Chordata; Mammalia; Artiodactyla; Bovidae. The record is from Ensembl.
AUGCCCCGGGUUAACCUCCGAAGUAUCGCCUUUUCUCCUCGGUUCCUCCUCAAACUUGUCGGCCCAGGCCUUAGGCUGGGGCUCCUGACAAGUCUUUCCUCCCUCACCUGCAUGGAAGCAUCAAGCGGAAACAAUUCAGUGAGGGAAGCGCCGAGCUGUAAAGCUGUGGGGUGUGGGCAAGGACAGUCCCUUCAGCCUCGGGGUCGGGGGGUGGGGGUGCUGGGAGACUUUGCAGGACUCAUUCCCAUCUUGCUCCUCCCAUCCCCCCACCUCCUCGCUCACUGAAAUCCCCUGAGUGCCUGUUAUUUAAGAGAUGUUGUCCCGGGUGUUAUGGGGAGUUGGCUCCAGAUUUCUGUGACCCUCGGUUCUGGACUACUUUUUAAAACAAGUAAAUCUUAUCUUCUCCCAUUUCCUGAUGCAUUUGUUUCCUCACCAUCCAGGAACCCAGUUCCCUUCACUGCCUCCAGGUUGUCCAAAGUCCCUUAUCAUUCCACCUACCUGGCCUCUCUCUCCAAGAAGUUCCCCAGAUCUCAGCAUUUCCUCCAGCUCAUGUCUGCCUGUUCGCAAACCCAAACUGCUGUUUUCUCAGACAGAGGCACGUGGAUUAGAUGAAUUCUCUUUAUUUUCCCUCUGUUGUGGGUUGAAUGUGUCCCCCUAUAAGGUAUGUUGAAGUCUGAACUCCUGGCACCUAUGAAUGUGACCUUAUUUGGAAAUGCGGUCUUUGUAGAUACAAUCAAGUUAAGAUGACCUCAUACAGAAUCAGGGUAAAACCUAAUUCAGUGUCUUUAUAAGAAGAGGAAUGUUUGGACACUCAGAGAGACACAGGGAGAGGAUACCAUGAAGAGGCUGAGAUUGAUGUGUUCACAAACCAAGGAAUAAGAAUUGCCAGCAACCACCAAAAGCUAGGAGGAGGCAAGGAAGAAUCCUCCUAGAAUGCUCAGGGAGAGCAUGGCCCUGCGUACACCUUGAUUUAGGACUUCCUCAAAGUCCUAAAUUAGGACCAGUCCUGAUUUAAGACUUGCCUUUAGAAUGAAAUUAGACAGAAGAUGAGAUGGUUGGAUGGCAUCACCGACUCAAUGGACAUAAAUUUAAGCAAACUCCUGGAGAUGGUGAAGGGCAGGGAAGUCUGGCGUGCUGCAAUCCCUGGUGUCGCAGAGAGUCAAUGACCAAGCAACUGAACAGCAACAACUAGAAUUAAGUCACCCAGUUUAGUGUUUUGUUGUGGCAGCCCUAGGAAACCAAUACAUCCUGCUGAAUGUGUUUACUUGUGGGGACAAAGGCAUCU